GUACCUGGCUUUGUCAUACUGUAUGUGGCUGGAUGCCUGGAAGCAGGGCUCCAGGACCAGACUGUCAUUACAGCUCCAUCUGCUCCAUGAAAUUGGGCUCGGUGUGCAUUAAUCUAAGCAGGUGGAAACAAAAGACUUUAUCUCCUGAUGAAAUCACUGCUCCCAGAGUUAAUCUCAUUCGAACACUUACUCAAAAUCUAGCCCGCAGAGAGCGUGCUGCAGGCUGAUGGAAGCCUGCUGGAUACAGAAUCGAGGUUGAUUCUUCUGGACCACCUUCAUCAUUAAUUCAUCUGCUUGAGAAUUCAUUCAUCUUUAUUUCACCAUUACCUAAUGAGCCUAAUGGAGACCAUCGGAAUCCAAAGGCUAAGCAUUUUUUUUUAAAGUGAGUAUUUGAUAAUUGUUAAUUAAUAAUAAUGUCAACAAUAACCUUAAUUUUCUAGGUAUUCCCCCCGAGGGAUUUACAUUUUAAUUAUACUUGCCAUAGGACAAGUAUAAUGACCCCCGGAAUUAAGCUUUGGUUUACAGUUUUUAAAUCACUGGAGUAAGGAGAAGCUAUCUUCAUGUAAAAAUAAUCAGACUUUUUUUUUUUUGAAGAGCCUCAAAUGGCAGAGAUGAAGAGAGAAUAAAUACAGCUGAUGAGAUUUAGUGUGACAUCAGUAAUUCUCAAAGGGACACCGCACCAUAGAGUCUGCUGUGUGGAUGUUUCCCACUCUUCUGGAGGUGACAGGCCUGACCUGUCAGGUACUAGUAACACCCAGGACAGACUAGAAAUGUCACAAACUACUAACAGCUACUACACAUGAUGUAAAAGGAUGUGUCUAAAAAGAGGUUGCUCUUCAAAACUGGCUUAAACCUGUUUCGAAGUUCUAACCCAUCCUCCUGGCUUAUGGAAACUGGAAUUAGUUUACAAAAAUUUCUAAACAAAAAUCAAACAUGGGGGCUGGGGAUGUGGCUCAAGCGAUAGUGUGCUCGCCUGGGAUGCACACAGCGCUGGAUUCGAUCCUCAGCACCACAUAAAAAUAAAGAUGUUGUGUCUGCCGAAAACUA
Molecule: long non-coding RNA, 1047 nt
Filed under: Ictidomys tridecemlineatus (thirteen-lined ground squirrel)
Lineage: Eukaryota; Metazoa; Chordata; Mammalia; Rodentia; Sciuridae
Description: lncRNA (ENSSTOG00000031307.1)
Source: RNAcentral